Molecule: ribosomal RNA, 693 nt
Filed under: uncultured Carnobacteriaceae bacterium
Lineage: Bacteria; Bacillati; Bacillota; Bacilli; Lactobacillales; Carnobacteriaceae
Description: bacterial SSU rRNA
Rfam family: Bacterial small subunit ribosomal RNA
Source: RNAcentral
CAAGUCGAACGAUGACGUCACUGCUUGCAGUGAUUGAUUAGUGGCGAACGGGUGAGUAACACGUGAGGAACUUGCCCAUGAGCGGGGGACAACAUUCGGAAACGGAUGCUAAUACCCCAUAGGUGGAUUGGUCGCAUGACUAAUUCAUUAAAGGUGGCUCUGCUACCACUCAUAGAUAGCCUCGCGGCGUAUUAGCUAGUUGGUAAGGUAAUGGCUUACCAAGGCAGUGAUACGUAGCCGACUUGAGAGGGUGAUCGGCCACACUGGGACUGAGACACGGCCCAGACUCCUACGGGAGGCAGCAGUAGGGAAUCUUCCACAAUGGGUGCAAACCUGAUGGAGCAAUGCCGCGUGAGUGAAGAAGGUCUUCGGAUCGUAAAGCUCUGUUGUUAGAGAAGAACACGUGCUAGGUAACUACUAGCGCCUUGACGGUAUCUAACCAGAAAGUCACGGCUAACUACGUGCCAGCAGCCGCGGUAAUACGUAGGUGACAAGCGUUGUCCGGAUUUAUUGGGCGUAAAGGGAGCGCAGGCGGUCUGUUUAGUCUAAUGUGAAAGCCCACGGCUUAACCGUGGAACGGCAUUGGAAACUGACAGACUUGAAUGUAGAAGAGGAAAAUGGAAUUCCAAGUGUAGCGGUGGAAUGCGUGGAUAUUUGGAGGAACACCAGUGGCGAAGGCGAUUUUCUGGUCUA